UACGUAGGGUGCAAGCGUUGUCCGGAAUUAUUGGGCGUAAAGAGCUCGUAGGCGGUCUGUUGCGUCGGCUGUGAAAACCCGGGGCUCAACUCCGGGCCUGCAGCCGAUACGGGCAGACUAGAGUUCGGCAGGGGAGACUGGAAUUCCUGGUGUAGCGGUGAAAUGCGCAGAUAUCAAGAGGAACACCAGUGGCGAAGGCGAGUCCCUGGACGAUACCUGACACUGAGGCACGAAAGCUAGGGGAGCAAACAGG
RNAcentral lists this ribosomal RNA (253 nucleotides) under uncultured bacterium. RNAcentral describes it as "partial 16S ribosomal RNA". It matches the Rfam family "Bacterial small subunit ribosomal RNA", at positions 524 to 776 of the family's 1533-position model. The record is from RNAcentral.